AGCCAGAUGCUUUCGGAAAUUAGG
This 24-nucleotide non-coding RNA is filed under the name Arabidopsis thaliana (thale cress). The record is from RNAcentral. Lineage: Eukaryota; Viridiplantae; Streptophyta; Magnoliopsida; Brassicales; Brassicaceae.